AAAAAGAGCAUAUUGUUAGAAACUUAGCAAUAUUGCCGUGCAGGCCAACUUCGUUUGCCGAGUGGGCUGUCAAAUAGGAUCAAAACUAGCAGCCAUUACGAGAGACAAAGGGUCAUAUAACUGCUAGACUUAUGACUCCAAAAUCGUUGGCGAAAACCAGAAGGUCAUGGGCAAUUUUGGGAUCACUUUAUAUUCAUGAGACAUUUACGAGAGCUCUUUAUUAUAUGAUAGUGGGUGAAUGUAGGUUUAGUGGUGAGUUAGUGUGAACUAGAUUCAACAUAUGAGCUAGAUUCAAUGUAUUCAAUGUAUUGUAAUCCUUAGUUUUUU
Molecule: long non-coding RNA, 327 nt
Filed under: Ananas comosus (pineapple)
Lineage: Eukaryota; Viridiplantae; Streptophyta; Magnoliopsida; Poales; Bromeliaceae
Description: long non-coding RNA (ACOM_LNC025842)
Source: RNAcentral